AAAAUAAUAAUUAAAUGAUAUGAAAUCAUUAAUUAAGGUGGUAGAGUUGAUUCAUGACCUACAAAUUACAUUAAGGAAGGUUAUUAUUAUACUAACUAUGUCCCCCCUAACCCUCUCUUUGAGAAGGCUAGAGGACAUUGGAGAUAGUAUUAAAACCUAAAGGGAAACCUAUAAUAAGAAAAAUAGUGAAUUGAAACAUCUUAGUAGCUAUAAAAAGAAAAUAACAAUGAUUUAUAAAGUAGUGGUGAACGAAAUAUAAAGAGUUCUAUGAGUAAUACAUAGAAAGUGUAUGAAUAUAACUGCAUAAACAGUUAAGACUAAAAACUUAAUGUAAAUAACAUAAGUACUGUGAAGGAAAUAUGGAUAGUGGAUCAAUAUAGCUAAUAAUAUUCUAAUAUGAAUAUUAUGUACCUAUUGCAUAAUGGGUUGGUUAGUUAUUAGAUAUAGCAAAUCAAAAAUAACUUAAGAAAUUAAGAUAAGAAGAUAUAUAUAACUAAAAAAGUAAGAAGUUAUAUUUAAUAUACCCGAAACUAGAUGAUUUUUUCUUGACCAAGUAAUUCAUUAAUUUGAAUUGACUGAACGGUAAUUUGUAGCAAUAAAUUCCGAUGAGUUGAGAAAGGGAAGUGAAAGACAAAUCUGAUUUAGAUAUAGCUGGUUGUCGACGAAAUAUAUAUUAGUAUAGACCAUUUAAUAUUACUAUAAUAUUACAGCAAUUUUUAUUGACAUAAUCAUUAAAUUUUAAUGAUAAUAAUAUUGGGGAUCCUAAACGAUUUAUCAACAAUAAAUAACCUCGAAAUAUGAUAUGUAAUACAUAAAUGGAUUCGGACUAUUUACUUUAAGGUAAUUAGUCAAUAGGGCAAUAACCCGAAUAAAUGAUAAAGUACCAAAAUAAUAUUAAGUGUUAUCAACAUAAAUUUGUAUUAAUACGUUUUAAUUACUGGGUUUGAUAGUAACUAUGUUUUAAUUAACGUGUAACAACGAAUUAAAUAAUAAAUACAGUUUGUGAUAAAUUAUUAGUGCUAUAAAUAUUAUACUGAUUCAUUUAAUAUCUAGAAUUAAUAAUAUUAAUUACUGGAUAAGAUAGUCGACUACAUAAUGAGAGAAAAAUCUAUAGAAAUAUAAUAUUAAAGUCUAUAGAUUAUUGAAUUAUGUUAAAACUGCUAACAUGAGUAACGUAAAUUGGUAAUGUCUAACUCUUACUACCCGCUUGCGGGUCGGAGUUAAAUGAUAAAAACCAAUUCAUCUUAAAAGCGAGGUUUUAAUAGAAAAUACGGAUUCUAAGCAAAUAAUUUUGACAAAAAUUAGGCGAUGAAAAAAUAAAUUGUACAGUUAAAGUAAUAUAUUUUAUAUAUUAUAUUAUACUCAAGAAAUAUAAUUUAUAAUAACCGUAAUUAUACCGACACAGGUGCUUAUAUAGAGAAUAUUAAGAUGAACGAGUGUAAUGAAUAUUAAGGAACUCGGCAAAAAAAAUGAUAAAUAAUUCAUAUAAAAACGAAGUUGUACAACUGUUUAACUAAAACACAGCACAUUGCAGAUAUUAAAUUAUUAGUAUAAUGUGUGAACUCUGCUCAAUGCUUAGAAAUAAAUGAAUUGAUUAAUUUUGUGAUCGAUUUUCAAUACUUUGCAAAUAGCAGCCUUAACGUGAGGGUUCUAAGGUAGCGAAAUUCCUAGGCUAAUAAUUGUAGUCCUGCAUGAAUGACGUAAUGAUACAACAACUGUCUCGAUAUUCAACUCGGUGAAAUUAAAUAUGUCGUGAAUAUUCGACAUGAAACAUGUAAUUAGACGAAAAGACUUAGGCAGCUUUACUAUAACAUAUUAUUGUUAAUAAUGGGAUCUUUAAAAGAUUAUUAUACAUAUUCGGGAAAUAGAAGAUCAUAUGUUUAACAUAUGGUAUUAUUAAUAUAUAAAUAUUUAAAUAUUUAUAUAUUAAUAAUGUAUUUGCUCACCUUUCAAGGUUAGUAAAUUAUAAUAUUUAUCUCAAUCCGUCCAACCCUUAUUAAGGGUUGGGCGGGUAGUGUAUAAACUCAUUAUUAUAUUUAUAAUUAUAAAUAGCAAGUAAUUAAAUUAUGUAUAUAAUUAAAAUUUGGAAGAAUUACUUUAAUUAUAAAUAAAGACUUAUUUUACCAAUAAUUUAAAGAUUAAAUUGGGUAGAAGAACGUGAUAUGUGGUUAGUUUUACUGGGGCGGUAUUUUCAUAAAAACUAUCUGAAAAUUCCAUAAUGAUAAUAAUUUUAAUUAAAAUUAGUUAUAAUUAAUAUAUGAUCAAGUUAGUAAAGAAAACUAAAUUCAUUAAAUAAAGAUGAAUAGAAUCAAUAAUAGGAUAAUCAUAUAUGAUUUAAGUUUCAACAAAAAUUUAAAGGAUGAAAAUCUGGUAUAGUGAACAGAACAUUAUAUUGAAUUUAUAGAGUGUUCGAUUAAAGGAUAAAAGUUACGCCUUAGAUAACUGGUUAAUUUGGAUAAUAGUUCUAAUCGUAAUCCAAGCUUAACACCUCGAUGUCGGCUUACGUUAUCCUAGAAGUGAAGCAGCUUCUAAAGGUUAAACUGUUCGUAUAUUAAAAACGUACAUGAGCUGGGUUCAGUGCAUUGUGAGAUAGCACGGUUUCUAUCUUUUACAUGGUAAAUGUUUCUAUUUAAUUGGUUUACUUAGUACGACAGGAUUGGUAAACAAUUAUCACUGGUUAAUCAUUAAGUAUAUUUAUAAAUAUAUAAAUAUAACGUGAUUAAGCUACAUAAUUAAAUAAUAAAAAUUGAAAGAAUAUAAAAUUUGAAGUAUAAUUAGUUAGGCAUAUAAUAUAUAUUGUAGAUUACAAUAUCGUAUAUAUUCAAAUAAUAUAUACAAUCGACUAGAAUAUAGUCUGAUUUAAUAUACACCUUAAUUAAUACAUAUCUU
Molecule: ribosomal RNA, 2889 nt
Filed under: Yarrowia alimentaria
Lineage: Eukaryota; Fungi; Ascomycota; Dipodascomycetes; Dipodascales
Description: 23S ribosomal RNA
Rfam family: Bacterial large subunit ribosomal RNA
Source: RNAcentral